This 491-nucleotide ribosomal RNA is filed under the name uncultured bacterium. RNAcentral describes it as "bacterial SSU rRNA". It matches the Rfam family "Bacterial small subunit ribosomal RNA", at positions 30 to 526 of the family's 1533-position model. The record is from RNAcentral.
AUUGAACGCUGGCGGCAGGCCUAACACAUGCAAGUCGAACGGAACCUUCGGGUUUAGUGGCGAACGGGUGAGUAAUGCCUAGGAAUCCGCCUAUUAGUGGGGGAUAACGAAUCGAAAGGUUCGCUAAUACCGCAUACGUCCUACGGGAGAAAGAGGGGGAUCUUCGGACCUCUUGCUAAUAGAUGAGCCUAGGUCGGAUUAGCUAGUUGGUGAGGUAAAGGCUCACCAAGGCGACGAUCUGUAGCUGGUCUGAGAGGAUGGCCAGCCACACUGGAACUGAGACACGGUCCAUACUCCUACGGGAAGCAGCAGUGGGGAAUAUUGCACAAUGGGGGAAACCCUGAUGCAGCCAUGCCGCGUGUGUGAAGAAGGCCUUCGGGUUGUAAAGCACUUUCAGCGAGGAGGAAAGGUUGGUAGCUAAUAACUGCCAGCUGUGACGUUACUCGCAGAAGAAGCACCGGCUAACUCCGUGCCAGCAGCCGCAGUAACAC